RNAcentral lists this ribosomal RNA (1346 nucleotides) under uncultured bacterium. RNAcentral describes it as "partial 16S ribosomal RNA". It matches the Rfam family "Bacterial small subunit ribosomal RNA", at positions 28 to 1381 of the family's 1533-position model. The record is from RNAcentral.
GACGAACGCUGGCGGCGUGCUUAACACAUGCAAGUCGAACGGAAAGGCCCUGCUUUUGUGGGGUGCUCGAGUGGCGAACGGGUGAGUAACACGCGAGUAACCUGCCCUUGACUUUGGGAUAACUUCAGGAAACUGGGGCUAAUACCGGAUAGGAGCUCCUGCUGCAUGGUGGGGGUGGGAAAGUUUCGGCGGUUGGGGAUGGACUCGCGGCUUAUCAGCUUGUUGGUGGGGUAGUGGCUUACCAAGGCUUUGACGGGUAGCCGGCCUGAGAGGGUGACCGGCCACAUUGGGACUGAGAUACGGCCCAGACUCCUACGGGAGGCAGCAGUGGGGAAUAUUGCACAAUGGGCGGAAGCCUGAUGCAGCAACGCCGCGUGCGGGAUGACGGCCUUCGGGUUGUAAACCGCUUUCGCCUGUGACGAAGCGUGAGUGACGGUAAUGGGUAAAGAAGCACCGGCUAACUACGUGCCAGCAGCCGCGGUGAUACGUAGGGUGCGAGCGUUGUCCGGAUUUAUUGGGCGUAAAGGGCUCGUAGGUGGUUGAUCGCGUCGGAAGUGUAAUCUUGGGGCUUAACCCUGAGCGUGCUUUCGAUACGGGUUGACUUGAGGAAGGUAGGGGAGAAUGGAAUUCCUGGUGGAGCGGUGGAAUGCGCAGAUAUCAGGAGGAACACCAGUGGCGAAGGCGGUUCUCUGGGCCUUUCCUGACGCUGAGGAGCGAAAGCGUGGGGAGCGAACAGGCUUAGAUACCCUGGUAGUCCACGCUGUAAACGGUGGGUACUAGGUGUGGGGUCCAUUCCACGGGUUCCGUGCCGUAGCUAACGCUUUAAGUACCCCGCCUGGGGAGUACGGCCGCAAGGCUAAAACUCAAAGGAAUUGACGGGGCCCCGCACAAGCGGCGGAGCAUGCGGAUUAAUUCGAUGCAACGCGUAGAACCUUACCUGGGUUUGACAUGGAUCGGGAGUGCUCAGAGAUGGGUGUGCCUCUUUUGGGGUCGGUUCACAGGUGGUGCAUGGCUGUCGUCAGCUCGUGUCGUGAGAUGUUGGGUUAAGUCCCGCAACGAGCGCAACCCUUGUUCACUGUUGCCAGCACGUUAUGGUGGGGACUCAGUGGAGACCGCCGGGGUCAACUCGGAGGAAGGUGGGGAUGACGUCAAGUCAUCAUGCCCCUUAUGUCCAGGGCUUCACGCAUGCUACAAUGGCUGGUACAGAGAGUGGCGAGCCUGUGAGGGUGAGCGAAUCUCGGAAAGCCGGUCUCAGUUCGGAUUGGGGUCUGCAACUCGACCUCAUGAAGUCGGAGUCGCUAGUAAUCGCAGAUCAGCAACGCUGCGGUGAAUACGUUCCCGGGGCU